Long non-coding RNA from Nycticebus coucang (slow loris), 3383 nucleotides. RefSeq lists it as uncharacterized. The record is from RefSeq and is a predicted model, not a curated record. The transcript has 4 exons. Lineage: Eukaryota; Metazoa; Chordata; Mammalia; Primates; Lorisidae.
ACUCCUCCCUGGUUGCAUGUGCCAGAAGGUCCUUAAGAACAGAUGUCAUCUCAGCAGGAGGCUCCGGGGCAGCAGCGCAGGACGCACUGCGUGGAGAAGAUGAAGACCUGGAGCCGCGCUCUGGUCCUCCAUCCCACCGCCUCCACUCCCGCCCGGCCCUCCAGGGGUCUCCCAGGUCGCGCCCAGCGGCCGCCCGUUAUUUAAAGGUCCCGCCCGCAGCCCCGUGCGCGGUACAUUCUCUGCACUCUCCUGUGCCGACUACUGGCCGCGCCACGGUUUCCACAACCCCUCCAAGUGUUUCCCCGAGUGACUGAGAUCCUUUCCGUGGAGAGUUCAGCGAGUUGGAGAGAGUUUUAUUUUUUCAAGAAAAGACCCUACAGGCUCCAUAAGUCCCCAGGGCCAACUUGGAAAUGCUGGCACUGGCAGGGGGCCCAGAAGUGACCUGUGGGCUACUGCUCCUCAAGGGAGUCAUCUUGGAGAUACCAGGACCAGUGGCGUGUACCGCAGGGCGGCAGCUGGAGCUGAUGAAGAAAACGAAAAUGUUAGUAAGAAGAGAGAGGAGUGUUCUAUCUCUUCUCCUGAACAAAAUCCUUCAAAAACAGCCCAGUACUGGCAGAUCCUACAUUCCAGAGGACCCUGUACCCUCUACUCAAGAUGCCCUCCCGACUGCCUCUAGUAGAUGACCUUUGAUCUCUGCCAUGGCAAGCCCAGCCACCUCCUGAGCUACACUGCCACCCUUGUCCUGCUUCCUGAAAUCUGCAUAUGUUCCAUCUGGUAACCAGGUUAUCCUCAGAACUUGAAGGGAAAGAUAUGAUGAACUCAAGGGAAAGUGGACAGGCCUCCAGGACAUCCUACUUAUGACCCGUACAGUGGUCAAGUUGCCUGGAUUACAUCAUUCCCGAAUCCAGCCUUAUCCCCCUAAAGAAAACCAAAAAACUCAUGCUGGACCAGUGGACUGCAGAACUGUGCCGAGAUGAAGGUUAAAACCUUCAGUUGUUGGAGCACCAGCUGCGGGUUCGCACUGCCCUGGGCCUGCUAAUCAAAACAGUUUCAGUUGUUAGGAUGGGAAGUAUAUUGUUCUCAGACAUCUUUGUUUGUUGUUUUAUUUAGUGUUCUUCUUAUCGUCUUUAGUUAACUGUGCUUACAACUUUUGUUGUUCUCAAUAUAACUUAAAACUUAGCCAUGGCCUAAAGAAUUUGAAUCCCAGGACAAGUGCAGUAAAUCUCAGUAAUUAUUUCCAUUUAAAGUCUAUUUUAUAAAUAUGAAAUGUAGUAAUAUGAGUAAAGAAUAAAAGCACAUGUAGUGUGCAGACUAGGGCAGACUUGACACAACUGAUCUGGUCAGUUUGGUCCUGACUGACCUUCACCCCAUGGCCAGACAGGUUCAUCCGAGGGCUGACACAGGCUCAGGAGAGAGCUGGGCUCUUUCUCUUCUCUAGCGUUGCAGGAUUUCAGAAGGGCAGAUCCCAGCCAGGACAGGCUGGUCUCUCUUUGCUUCUCUUUUCUCUGAGGCCUGCUUCCCUCUGGGAGAGCUUCGUGCUUUAGAAGGCUACUCUCUGUGGGGCAGCCUGUCCGGUGACAUUGUCAACAUCUGUGGAUCAGCUUGAUGUGUGAAGCACGAAGUCGAGUCCUGGAGGGAGAGGAGGACAGCUCGCUCCUCUGAUUCCCUGUGUGUUGCCCCAUUUUUCUGGAUAUGUGGUCAGUACGUGACAGACACGGUCCUCAUCCAACACUCUUCCUUGGUCAGCACAGUUCUUGGUUCACACCUGGCACACAGCAGGCGCUCAGUAAAUGUCCAUCUGGUGAUUAAUGCAGAGCCCAUGUCACAGAGUUUGCUAACAGGACGAUGGAUCACCUCACUCCUGACUCAAUCAGCAUGUUGUGAGUGGUUCAAAAUACAGGCCCAGUGUUUCAACUUCAGAGACACCCCAGAAUGGAAAAAUUGCUCCUUGGAUGAAGUGAUUUAAAGUAUCACUGCUCUGCUCUCCAGGAAACAUGGUGAGAGUGAGAACAAUGCUGGGGUGUGAUGCGGGUUUGGAGGGAAAGCAGACGGUGAGUCUCCAACUUGGCAUCAUGCUCCAUGUGGGCUGCUCUCCAUUUCUAGUUCCUCCUUCGUGGAGACACACUUGUGUUGCCUUCUCUUGUGUCCUGGGGAGAAUGGACUAGGGCAGGAGGAACUGAGCUCAGGGUGCAGGGCAGUUACACGCCCGGUGCCUCCUGAGAUGAGCUGUGGGGUUCUCUCCUCUCCCCUGCUGAGGCCUGACUGUAGCUGUGUCAGCAUCACUAGCUGUGGGCCCUCAGCCUCUUCUUUAUCAGAGAAUCCUGGGGAAUGGAAUUUGAUGGAUUUGCUCAUUAGCCUCUUGCAUUACUGAGGUUGAUUUGAUUGUGUUUUCUUUCCCUCAUUGUGCAUAUGAAUCAAAUUGUUAGAAUACAUCUCAGCAAAUCCUUUUCCUAUAUCCUGGACAGAUGGAGAAUGCCAUUGUGUGGGAAGUGCAAGGCAAUGGAUUUCAAAUGUCACCACAUUGGCCCAUCUCUCUAUUUUUUAUUUUAGAUUGAUAUGAGGUGGCAAAUGUUUAGGUUACAUUAUUUUCAUUUGUAAGGUGAAGUUCAAGCUGUAGUUGAGCCCUUCACCUGGGGGCCUGCUGAGCCCCCUCACAUUGCGUAUAUUAGGUGACAUCCCACCACUCCCCCCUGCCUCCCCCUCCCCCUCCCUAGACUAUACUUGUGUUUUUCUCUCAUGUGGGUGUGUAGUUGUUUAUCUAUUUGGUUUCAUAUUAAUAUUGAGUACAUUGGAGACCCCCCCCAAUUCUUGAGAUACUUCACUAACAAUGUGUGUAAACGACAUCCAGGUAAACACAAAAGAUGUAAAGUCUCCAUGUUUUCUUAUGGCUGAAUACUAUUCCAUGGUAUACAUAUACCACAAUUGGUUUAUCCGUUCGUGGGUUGAUGGGCACUUGGGUUGUUUCCAUGUCUUGGAAAUUAUGAUUUCAGCUGCAAUAAACAUUCUGGUGCAAAUGUCUUUGUGGUAAAAUGAUUUUUUUCCCUCUGGGUAGCAUCUAUCUUCUUACAGGUGAAAGCCAGGCCAUCAUUUCUGUUAGUCCUUAGAGUCAGAGCUGGAACAUACAGGGAUUGUCCAGCCAAACCUGCAGAGUGGCCACCGGCUUGGGACGCUGCAUGGUGAAUUGGAGGGAGGUGCUAGUAGCCCUGCCUGGGGGUCUGCUCCAUCCCUGCCAGAUCCUGUCACUGAGAUCUCCUCACAGGUGGGGUGCCAGUUGCCUUGUUGCUGCUGAUUCCCCUCCCCCUCCACCCGCGCCUUGGAGUUCCCUGCCUCUACCACCUCCCUUCUCCUGCUCCUUUGCAUUGUGGGCCCAGCAAGUCAGUUUA